This is a long non-coding RNA of Ornithodoros turicata, 378 nucleotides long. RefSeq lists it as uncharacterized. Lineage: Eukaryota; Metazoa; Arthropoda; Arachnida; Ixodida; Argasidae. The transcript is spliced from 3 exons. The record is from RefSeq and is a predicted model, not a curated record.
CUCACAUGCAUAUUUUCGUUGCACAGAAGCCGUGAGCGAUCGAGACGAAUCAUCUCUCCCAUAGCAACAGGUUCUACACCCAUAUCCUAGGCCACGUGUAUAGGGAAGGACCAGCAAGAUGAAAAACUAUCUUUCUCGACAUCCGCGUGUUCCACUCCGAAUGCGGUCGCUUUUGGUGAGAUGCGUGGAAGCAACUUUACGGAUAUCCCGGGACAUAUCUCGGUGACAUUUUCUGAUUUGUAAGGCAUCUGAGAUGUGUGCAGCCGCUUCCGGGAUGUCAAAAGGUUCUCUUCUUAACGACAGUAUACACUUUUUCGUGUAAGUGCAUACACCACAUUCCUAUUCCUUGUUUUCUGGGACUACCAUCGUAUAGGUAGU